CUGCCGGGUCCGCCGGGGUGCUGACGGCGGUGGCCGCCCUGUGAGCGGAGCCCGGCCUGGGCAAAGGCAGGGCCGUAGGACCUCGCGCCACGUCCGGGCUCCGGGGCGGGGGCUGCGGGGGCGAAGCCCCCUCCCCGGGGAGGCGGGGCCUGGGCAAGCUCCCCGCUUGGGGAGCGGCGGCGGCCAGGAAGGAUGCAUCAGAAGCUGCUGAAGAGCGCACAUUAUAUCGAGCUGGGCAGCUACCAGUACUGGCCCGUCCUGGUGCCCCGCGGCAUCCGCCUCUACACCUACGAGCAGAUCCCCGUGUCCCUCAAGGACAACCCGUACAUCACCGACGGCUACCGGGCCUACCUGCCCUCCAGGCUGUGUAUCAAAAGUUUGUUUAUUUUAUCUAAUGAGACGGUAAACAUCUGGAGUCAUUUGCUGGGUUUCUUUCUCUUCUUCACACUGGGAAUAUAUGACAUGACAUCUGUGUUACCUUCAGCAAGUGCAUCCAGAGAAGACUUUGUAAUUUGUUCUAUUUGCCUUUUCUGCUUCCAGGUCUGUAUGCUUUGCUCUGUGGGCUAUCAUCUUUUUUCCUGCCAUCGAUCAGAAAAAACCUGUCGUAGAUGGAUGGCAUUAGAUUAUGCAGGAAUUUCUAUUGGAAUACUGGGCUGCUAUGUCUCUGGCGUAUUUUAUGCAUUUUAUUGUAAUAACUACUGGCGUCAAGUGUACUUGAUCACAGUGCUUGCUAUGAUCCUGGCGGUGUUCUUUGCUCAGAUUCAUCCCAAUUACCUCACACAGCAGUGGCAGAGGCUCCGUUCUAUCAUCUUUUGUUCUGUUUCGGGAUAUGGAGUGAUCCCUACUCUUCACUGGGUUUGGCUCAAUGGAGGAAUCGGUGCUCCUAUUGUGCAGGACUUUGCACCCCGUGUAAUUGUGAUGUAUGUGAUUGCUCUUCUUGCUUUCCUAUUCUACAUUUCCAAAGUUCCAGAAAGGUAUUUUCCAGGACAACUAAACUACCUCGGAUCAAGCCACCAAAUAUGGCAUGUCCUUGCAGUAGUGAUGUUAUAUUGGUGGCAUCAGUCAACAGUAUAUGUCAUGCAGUACAGACAUAGCAAGCCUUGUCCUGACUAUGUUUCACAUUUGUGAAUUCAGAAUCAGGAAUGAAGCUUCAGGGAAUGUGUGUCACAUCUUAAAGGCAUCCCGCCUGGACAGAGUAACCGAUUUGAAGAUUGUGAUUGACUGGCAUAAAGCUGUACAACUCUCCAUUUGGCAGGAGUUAAUAACAAGAGUCAGAAAUUAUCUACUGUUUAGAGGGAAACGGAGCAGCACCGAAUGGGUCCAAUUCGACUGGCUGGGCCUGUUGGGACUGAUGUGAGGUGACGCUUUGCACCACGAGUUCUGUAAAGGGCACGGCACCAAAAUCAUCCAUUUUCAACGCAUCUGCCCCGGGGAACGACCCGUGGAGUGAAUUCGGCCUGGGCCGCCCGGGCAGGACAGGGUUGUGGUCGGCACGGAUGUCGCUCAGGCCCUGAUGCGGGGGGUGCCACGGCAGGUCCGGAGGGUGGAACGGCUUGGCCCCAAAGGGGUCCAACAGACCCUCAUCGGCUUGCAGGACGUGCCCUCUGUCCUUCCCGUCGGUCAGGGCAACGCUGAUGUUCUCCUUGGAGUCCGAGAUGGUCAGAAAUUCAUUGCUGCUCUGGGAGUCCCGGCGGCCCACCCUCUUGUGCCUGCGGGCCCUCUCUGGGGUGCGGUAGGCGGGUUUGGCCGGCUUUUUGGCACCGGUGGGCGUGCCGUGGUGCCGCUUCCCGUUACUCUUGGCCGCCUCCUGCUUCGUGCGCCUCUGGCGGGAGGACAGUUUCUGCAAGCUGCGCUGCUUGACUUUUUGCUGCUGACUGCCGGUUAUCUCCUCAAAGGGCACCAGCCCAAAAAGGUCCUCGUUGCUGUCGCUUUUACUUGCUGAUGUGGGCAAGGGCUGGAACGGAGUGGAGCCAAAUAUAUCCACACACUGCGGACGAGCGGGGAGCGCAGGCGCGUCGGGCACGGGCACCUUCUUGCUGAAGGGCGCCUUGGUGAAGACAUCGAACUCCUCGGGCUCCAGCCCCACGGCGGGAAGCCGGCUCUCGGGGGAGGGGUCCUUCUCCGGCUCCCCUUGGCGGGGCUGUUGAGCACGUGCAGCAAAGAAGGGGACGGCGCCAAAGACAUCAAACUCCGGUCUGGGAGUCCCCGCCCCGACGUCCGAGGGUAACUGGGUGGGCGUGAGGACUGCUGCACUAGGAUCCUGGAUCGCUCCGCUGCCAGAUGUGUCUCUGUAGACCGCGCUGCCGUCGCUAUACUUGGCUUUGGCCUGCUCGUAAUCCGAAUCGGAGCUGUGUUUCUCUUCUUCUUCCUCAUCUUCAGAAUCCAUAAGCAGAGGCCUGUGACCCAGAUUUUCCGGCUCAGUAUCGUCAUCGUUAAAAUCUCCUUGUUCUCCCUGAAGAACUUCUUCAUCCUCUUGCUCUUCCUCUUCGCUGCUCUUAGGAGAAGGGGGAUCUGAUUCAAAAUCACUCUCAGAUUCAUCGUUCCCCUUUUGCAGUUGACCGUGUACUGAUGAAUUCUCUGAGGUUUUCUUUCCAGUCCGGUGGUCUUUAGAUACUGGGCUUGCUUUUGUAUUCUUGAUAGGGUUUUCAGUGCUAUUUUCUUGAUUCAUGGAUGAAUGUUCAACUUUCUUUUCAGGAGAACCUGCAAAUUCAAAGAAAAAUUAUUAUAUCAUUCCAAUGCAUUUCAAAAACCAUUUACAGUAAACAUUAUGUACUAACACAAAGCAUUACAGAUCACUCAUGGCAGUUCCCUUAGAGGAAGAUGUAACGGCAGUUCUUUAUCAUUAGGCUUGAGGGGGGCGGGGAUGCACCUGGCCUCAUAGUCGAUGGUUAGGUCCUUCAGUGCAGACAGACUUACUUGUCUCUCUACCCUACACACCACCUACUCACCACAGGUGCUCACUGACAGCUAAGUCUUACUUACAGUACCCAGAAUAGGACUCUGAAUACAGUACACAAGCACAUUUUCUUCUUCCACCUUCAAAAUAAGAUUAUCCAGUCAGUUGCCCUGCUCAGACCCCAUGUUUGCCCAACAGCCUUCUGCUUAUAUUUCAACUCUGUUAUGAAGUUUUCCCACAGAGAUCAGCAAGCAUGAAUAGCUUAUCUGCUUAGUUAUGUUUUGCUGUGUAAUUUUUAAAUUGGCAUUCUGGUGUUUUUUUGUAAACAAGUAUCUUAUGAGUUGGGUUAACAUGAGUGCAUCCCCAGAGCCUGAUCAAAACUAAGGACCAGCUACUGAACUGAGACGGUACCAAGGAUAGCUGCCUUCCCUAGAUGCCACAUCUUCCGUAAACUGUCAUACCUGUACUAAUAGACAUGAUAUUAAAAGCAUGCUACUUUAAUAAAAAUCUUAACUAUCAGUAUGUUCACUGUAUGAUAGGUAAUAAAACUGUAUCAAAUACAGUGCUCUACAAUUUCACUGUAUGAUAUACAGUAAAGAUAAACAGUAUGUUAGUUUACAUGAAAACAUACAGCCCUCCCAAUACACUGGUGUACUGAAUUGAUUUUCCAGAGGUAGGAAACAAUUUGAAUUGAUCCAACCACAUAUCCAUUUAUCCCUUCCCCUCUAAGAUCAGAUAUUUUCAAAACAAUUAGCUAGGGUUGGAAGUAUAGUCUUUAGUCAUGGAAACUAAUUAUACCUUAUGACGGAAGGACCAUUUCUUUUGCGUUAUUAACAAAGUGGUCUCCAUGGCACAGGACACCUCUGAGUUAUUUCCUUCUCUUUGAAAGUCAGCACUGUUGUCUUUCCCACCUCUCUAUUCCCUCUUGGUCAUAUUUGUAGAGACUUCUCUUUCACAAACAUCUCCCUACACAUGUACGCUCCCCAGGGUUCUAUCCUUGGCUGUCUUUCUCCCUCUGCAUGUCCUGCCCUGGGUCCUAACUACUUGUAUGUUAAUCAGCAUUUACACAGUAAUGAGUGGACCUCUGAUUCUUACCAUGAAUACUCAUAUAUCCUAUUCAUCUAAUACUUAUCAUAAAUAUGUAUCUCCUACCAUUACUUCAAACUCAGUAAUUUCAAGAGAUCAUCUUUUCUCUUAAAAUGUGUCCUCACCAGUCCCUCUAAAUUAGUGAACAACACUUCCAUCUACCUACCAAGUUCUGAAAACUAGCAGAAAUCUAUAAAUCAUAUUCCCUCUUCCCACCAAAUAGUGUUUUUAAACUCUGGAAUCGGGUCCCUCCUCUCCCUCUGCCAGCUGUCUAUCCCAUCCCCUCAUCUUCAUCCAGCAACUCCUUAGCCUCUAAACUUGCCUGUCUGCCUCUAGUACCAUAUCCCUCAAACUGCUCCUUUACACUAUCACCAGAAUAACCCUUCUGACACACUAAUCAUGUGGCUACUGCUGAAAACCCUUCAGCGUCUCUCUGAGGAAAAGGGGAUCCACCACUGAGCCCUCAGGUAUAAACCAUUUAGAAGUCAACAGAGGAACCUGCAAAGCAAACAGGGAAGUGCCAGAGAGGAAGACCAAAUGCAGGUGAGUGUAAUGUUGCCGAAGCCAAGAGAGGAGAGUGUUUCCGGGGGAGGGAGUAGACAACUGCGCAGGGUGAUGCAAAGAAGUCCAAUGAACUGACGACGGAAAUGGCCACUGGCUCCGGUCAGCUCAUGCAGGUUGUUGACAACCGUGAAGCGGGGAGUGGGGAGGAAAUCUAGUGGGGCUGAGGAGUGAGGGGGAGAGAAGAUGUGGAGAUUUCUAUCAGUUAUACUUAAAUACAAAUAUAAUCUUCAUCCAUUAUUCAUCUGCCAGUUCCCUGAAACCAGCCAAGAGUUAUAUGCUGUAUCUUUACAUAUUCAUAAUAAGCUUAUCUUAAAUCCUAACAGAUUAAAAUCAAAUCAAAUGCAGAUUUUCAUUUGACUUCUCCAUACAGCAUACUUCUGAUAUUAAAAACAAAGAUUACUUUUAGAUUAGCCAGAGCAUUUAUUUUCAUGAAUUUUUAUCCAAAAGCAAAAAAUGCGAUGGCAAAGACUUGCAAUCACCCCUGACUUUAGGACAGUCCCUCUAAGAUACACGUUAACUUAGUACCUCUUCAGGCACUUACCCACCCACAGAGAGCCACAUGGGCACCCCUCCUGCCUGCUCAUGGACGCCUCCAGGAACAUUCCAGUAUGCUUCCUAAAGUGUCUUCUGCAGAACGCCUAUUCCCGUAACAAGAACCAAACAGUUCUGUGGUCUCAGGCGCAUGAGUUUAUGAAAUGCUGCACUUUACAAUGUACCCCUCACCACCACCACUCACCUGGAAAAUGCUCAUCGUACUAAAGGUGCUGACACAUUGUACACAGAAGAAUCUGACUGAAUGAAGCCUA
RNA transcript from Globicephala melas (long-finned pilot whale), 5352 nucleotides. It is a transcript of the gene named progestin and adipoQ receptor family member 3, with no coding region annotated. The record is from RefSeq and is a predicted model, not a curated record. Lineage: Eukaryota; Metazoa; Chordata; Mammalia; Artiodactyla; Delphinidae.